This 93-nucleotide ribosomal RNA is filed under the name Bison bison bison. The record is from RNAcentral. Lineage: Eukaryota; Metazoa; Chordata; Mammalia; Artiodactyla; Bovidae.
GUCUCAGGCCCUAUCAGCCUGAAGGCGCCCGAUCUCGUCUGAUCUCGGAAGCUAAGCAGGGUCGGGCCUGGUUAGGAUCUUGGAUGGGAGACC